RNAcentral lists this ribosomal RNA (353 nucleotides) under uncultured Lactobacillus sp. RNAcentral's name for it is "bacterial SSU rRNA". It matches the Rfam family "Bacterial small subunit ribosomal RNA", at positions 187 to 525 of the family's 1533-position model. The record is from RNAcentral. Lineage: Bacteria; Bacillati; Bacillota; Bacilli; Lactobacillales; Lactobacillaceae.
UGAUCAGACUUUUUAAAAAGGCGGCGUAAGCUGUCGCUAUGGGAUGGCCCCGCGGUGCAUUUAGCUAGUUGGUAAGGUAAAGGCUUACCAAGGCGAUGAUGCAUAGCCGAGUUGAGAGACUGAUCGGCCACAUUGGGACUGAGACACGGCCCAAACUCCUACGGGAGGCAGCAGUAGGGAAUCUUCCACAAUGGACGCAAGUCUGAUGGAGCAACGCCGCGUGAGUGAAGAAGGUUUUCGGAUCGUAAAGCUCUGUUGUUGGUGAAGAAGGAUAGAGGUAGUAACUGGCCUUUAUUUGACGGUAAUCAACCAGAAAGUCACGGGCUAACUACGUGCCAGCAGCCGCGGUAAAU